AUGGACUUUAAGUAAUCUUUAAUAAUUAUAAUCAAACUUUAACCAAUUCAAAAUAAAUUUAAAAGAAGUUACAAAAGAAACACAAAGAAGUCGUAAAUUAAUCUCAAAGAAAAAUAAUAAAUAAUCCUAAAGAAAUAUUAAAAAGAGAAAUCCUAAAUAAAUCCUAAUCAAAUCUUAAUUUAAUCCUACUUGAAAUCCUAAUGAAUCUUAAUCAAAUCCUAAAUCAAAUCUUAAUUUAAAUCCUAAUGAAAUCCUAAAUCUUAAAUCAAUUCUAAUAAAUCCUAAUCAAAUCCUAAUCAAAUCCUAAUCAAAUCCUAGAAAAAUCUUAGACAAAUUCUAAUAAAAUCUAAAUCAAAUUCCAAUCAAAUCUUAGUCAAAUCUUAGUCAAAUCCUAAUUAAAUUCUAAUCAAAUCUUAAUCAAAUUCUAAUCAAAUCUUAGUCAAAUCUUAAUUAAAUUCAAAUAAAAUCCUAAAUCUUAAUCGAAUCAUAAUCAAAUCUUAGAUCAUAAAUCAAUCCUAAUAAAUCCUUAAUCAACUCCUAAAUCUUAAAUAAUUCUUGAUAAAGUUUGUAGCAGAUUAAAAAUUCAGUAACUAAUGAUUGAAACAUUGAUUUUGACUCAAAAUUUGCAUACCUUGCAACAACUAAGUAAGCAACAAGAGCAAAAAAUUUGAAGAAGAUUGCACAUACCAAUAGCAAGAAAAGCUCUCAAAACUUCUAGGUAAUUGGCUGCCUUUCUUUUUUGACUUGAACAUUGAUCUUUCAAUAUAAAUUUCUCCUUGUUGAACCAUUCAAUUCCUCUAUAAUUUAGAUUUUGUAUAGAUAUUCUAGUCUAAAUUGCUCUCACCAAUUUUUGCUUCAAUCGAAUUAGUAGAUAUUAUGAGAUCAUGAAAUCCUUUAUUGAUCCUAAAUCUCAAUUAUUCAAGACCAUAACCCACAAAAAUCCUCAUAUUCUUCAAUCUAAUUGAUCAAUUGACCUUAAAUUUUUCUCUUACAUUUAUAAUAAGGAUAACAACAAACUAUCCAAUUUUCAUUUAUAAACACACUAUAAAAUUCACAAAAUCCUAAAAUCUAUAAUCUUAUUUUUAUUUCUCAAAAUCUAAAUCCACAAAAAAUAUCAUUAACAUUUAAAAUCUCUCAAAAUCUCAAUAUUAAUCUAAAUGACAUAAAAAUAAUACUUAAAAAAUCUCUCUUAAAGUUUGCAUUCAAAAUCUAAUUUCUAUUUUAUAAAAAAACCUUAAAAUUACUAUAGAUAUAUAAUUUUAUGUCUUGGGAUUUGAUUUUGAUUCAAGUUUACUAUUGAUCCUCUCCAAAUAUCAAAUUUUAGUAAUUUGAGGUAAUUUUUGCUUUAACCUAUAUUUAAUUCUCUUCUAAAUAUGUCUAUAUCAAUUUCUUAUCUCAUUUACAUUGAUUUGGUUCAAAUAUGCUUCUAGAAAGUUAAUAAAAGACUCUUCUAUAAAUGAAAAUAUUAAGACUAAUUAUUUACUAUCUUUCUAUCAUUUAUUCUUAUUUUUUUAUUACAUCUUUCAAUUAGGUUCUCUUAUAAUAACAUCCAUAUUUUAAUUUUUUAUAUAAUUGUGUUAUUACAUGACAAUAUGAAGAACAAGGAAUAGAAAUGAGGGGGGUUGGGAUGAAGGAUGAGAACUAUAAGAAUGAAGGGAGUGGAGACUAAGAAUGAGGACGUGGAGGUGAGAGUUAUGAUUGUAAUGGUGGUUUCUAGAGAUGAUCUAUUUUUCUAAUCAUGGUUAUAAUAGGGUAGAUCAAUUUAAUAAAAAUGUGGAUCUAUUUAAUAUUUUUCUUUAUAUAUAUAUAUAUAUAUAUAUAUAUAUAUAUAUAAUCUUUAAUAAAUAAUAAGAUUACAUUGUUUAUUCUAAGAAACUCUUUAGGACUAGAAAUAUUUAUCUAUUUUUUAAAAAUAGAAUUAAUUAUAAUUAAAUCUAUUUAAUAAUUUAUUCUUUUUAUUAAUAUUUAAUAUAUUAUUCUAUUAAUUGUAGAAGGUGAUCAAAAUAAAAUAAGUAGGACUUAUGAUAAGUUUUAUUCAUUAAAAGAUUAUUUUUUAACAAUAAAAAAUAUUUAUUUCUGAAACAUUAUUUCUAUCUUGAAUAUUUUUUAAAAUUACAAAAUAUUAAUUCUUAUUAGAUAAUAAAAAAAAGUUAUAUCUAUAGCCAAAUUAGAUGAUUAUCAUAUUAGUAUAAAUUAUCUUUUUAAAGAGUGUAUAUAUAUAUAUAUAUAUAUAUAUAUAUAUAUAUUAUUUGAUAAUUCUCAUGUAGUAUUAUUUUUAUUAGCUAAAAAUUAGAACCUUAAAAACUUUACUUUUAAAUAAAAUAUCUUCUAUUCUAAAGAUUCAUAAGUCAGUAGUUUAAUAAAAAAAAAAAAAAAAAAAAAAAAAACAUGCACAAGGAUUACAUACAAUAAAACUUUUUGCAAUAAAAUUAUAAAUUCUGAUUUUUUUUUGUGAAAUUUUUUAUCAUUUAUUUAUUUUCUAAAUAUAAAUAAUCUAAAUGUAUAUCUAUUGAAGAAUAUAUAUAAGAAGAUUAAAGAAUUUUUGUAAGACUUUAAUGAAAGAUUUAUAAAAUAAAUUGUACUAUAUUUUUUUUUAAAGUAUUAAAGAGAUGGUUUUUUAAAAAAAAAUAUUCAAAAUAAAAAACAAAUAUAUAAAAAAGAAAUAUUUAAAAUAGAAAUUAGUUUAUACUCUGAUUUUUUUAUUCAAAAAUCUUUCAAUCCAAAUAAUGUAGAAAAGAAGUUUUUUAUAUUAUAUUAAAAGAUUUUUGGUUGAUUUCAUCUUACGAUAGUUAGUUAAAUACUGAUUAGUGGUUAUAUUUUGUAAACUAUUAUCAAAGUUUUUUUACGGUUCUUUGAAAAAGAAGUGACAAGAAAAUCUUAAGAAAUUUAAAACUAAUGACCUUGAUAAAUACAACUUAAAAAAUAAUUAUAUUAAAUUUUAUUUAUAUUAUAUUAAUGUAAUAUAAAAAAUAGAAUUUCAACAAAUUUUAUAUAAAAAUUCUUCAAUUAUAAAAUAAUUAAAUUAAUAUAUUAAAAAAUUAUAUACUAAAAUUAUUUUAAAAGGCUAAAUUAAUACUUAUAAAGAUAAUUUAUUCUAACCUAAACAUCUACUUCUUUAUAAAGGUUUACUUUUGAUGGUAUUCUUUUUAUAUAAAAAAUCAUCUUUUGAAUUAGUAUCUAAAAUAAUUUCUUUCAUUAUUUGAAAAACAUAUUAAACUUAAGCAUCUCUAUACAAUAAUAGUGGUCAAAGAUGUGAAAUUUCUAAAUUUAUUUAGCAAUAUUUUUAAGAUUUAGUACCUUUUUCUUAUAAAAAAAAGUAAAAAAAAAUUUACAAUUUAUACUAUAGAAUUUGUAAAUAUGCAGCCAAAUUUGAUUGUGGUAUAAAUACGAAUUGAUGUAGAUUAAAGAAUAAUGUAGAAGAUGUGAGGUCACCUAAUUCACUUAGCAAUAAUUCCAAGUUUAAAUAUAAACUUAUAUUUUAGAAAGUCUAAGAUGUUAGGUUGCUCAAUUCAUUUGACAAUAAUUUCAAGCUUAAGAACUUUGUUAUAUUAAGAUUUUUUAUUAACGUUGAUUAUGAUUUUAUUUUUUUUAAUUAAUUAAAUUAAGUCUUUUUAAAAAAAUUAUAUUCUCGAUUUUAUUUGAUAACACAAUGAAGUUUAGAUAUCUUAUUAAAUCAAAUUUUAAUAGUAUAGAAAUUUUAAAGAAUAAGUUUAGAAAUUUUUCUAUAAAAGAAUAAUUUUUCAAUUUCAAGACAUUUAAGUUCUUAAAUUAUUUCUAAACAUCUUUUUUGCAUCACAUGGACAAUGCCUUAUCUAUUAUUGCCUCUUCAAAGUUGUGUAUACAUGAUAUGUCUAGUAGAAAAUAUUUUAAUUUAAGAUUUUUUUAUUAAUAAAAAAAUAUUCUUAAUAUAUUUUUAAAUAUUUUAUGUAGAAAUAAUAAUAUUAAAACUUAAAAAUUAAAGUGAUACAAUAGUAGUAUGCUUAAUAUUAAUAUAUAAAUUUAAUUUUAAUAUAAUAUUAAAAUUAUGAAAUAACAACUUUACAAUAUCAUAUAUCUAAAAAAAACAUACUAAUAUUUAGAUGAUAUAAAAAGAAUCUAAUCUUAAAUUUUUAAGUUAUUUCUAUUAUUAAUAAUUUUAUAUAUGAUAUUUAGAUAAUAAUUAAGUAAAUUACUUAAUUUGAUAAUCUAAGAAAUGAAUAUAUAUUCAAGUUCUACAUUUGUAAGUAUUUAUAUUCUAUUUCAUUUUCAAUAAGCUUUCUAUCUAUGUCUUCUAGUUGAUCAUGUGAUCUUAAAAUUUCAUUUUUUUUUCUUUUACCUAGGAUUGGUAUUUCAAUUAAUCUAACAUAAAUUCCAUAUUUUUUUUCAAUGUAUCUUUUUUACCACUGCCCCAUAUUUGCAAUGCUUUUUCUUAGGAUAUGCCUUCUAGAUUCAUAUCAUUAAAAAAGAAACAAUUUGUUUUCAAAAAUAUAUUCUUUUCUUUUAUUUUUAAAUUAUUAAAGCUUAUUUUUAAUAUAUUCUAAAUCUUAAAGAUACACACACACACACACACACACACUUACAUAUAUAUAUAUAUAUAUAUAUAUCUGCAUCCAAAUAUCUAAAUUUUUUUUAAUCUUUAUAAAGCUUAUUUUUUAUAUCUCAAAUUUGUUUUUAUUUUUUCUUUUAAAAAUGCUCUUAUAACUUUUAGACUCAAUGGUAGGCUAUUGUAAGUUCUUAUAAUUUUUUUACCAACCUUAACAAGUUUAUGACACAUAAAUUUUUGGAACCCAAAAAAAUAAGUUAUAAAUAGCUUCAAACUUAUAUCUUUAUCUAAUUCCUUAAGAUUUGUUUUUUAUUUUUUUCCACUAAAAUAAUUUAUUGCUCAUAAAUCUUAAAUUGUAAUUAAUGUGCUACCAUUACUAAUAGAAAUAGCAUCUACAAAAAGAAUUUUUUAAAUUUGACUUUGAUUCUUCACAUUAACAAAGACUGAAAUAAUUUUGUUUGUAUUUAAGAUUUUAAUUUUAAUUUUUUAAUUUUUUUAACUUUCUUUAAAUUCUUUUCUUUUGAUUUUGACUUUAAAUUAUAUAAAUAUAUUGAAAAAAACUUUUUAGCCAUUAUUUAUUGAAGAAAAAGUACUUUGAAGUUACAACACUUAGCAUUAGCAAGGUUGCACACAAAAGGGAGUAUGGAGUAAGAUAACUCUUACUUCAUACACUUGUUACUUAUAGGUGGUGAUUGCCAACCAACAAGGCAACUUUCAUCAACAUUACAUCCAUUUCUACUUCAUUCAAGUAAACCCUUGAUUCUUUCUUGACCUAGCCGCCACCUACAAACCUUAGCCAACAUCUACAAAUCCUAGAAGCCACCUUAAUAACUUUGUUAUACUCUUUGCUACCUUUUGAUCACUAACAACUUAUCUAAGGUAAUACCUUUUACUAAGUGACUUACUUCAACACUCCCACUUUUCUAUUGGUCAAAGGGCUUUCAAUCCUAAUGCCUUUGUUAAUAUGUGGUGUCUAUCCUUUACUAAUGUCUUUGUCAACAAAUCAGCAAGUAUGUCUUCUUUUGCACAUUAUUUCAUAUCAAUCACUCCCAUUUCAAUCUUCUCUCUUAUGAAGUGAUGUUGAAUGUGAAUAUGUUUUGUCCUUGAAUGAUGCUUGGGAUUCUUUGCAAUUGUAAGACAUUGUUGAUUGUUAUACUCCAUUAGAGUUGCUUCUAUUUGCAUAUCUCCAAUGUCCUCCAAAAGUUGUCUUAGCCAUAUUGCCCAAGGCUUGUUGUCAUGUACUCUACUUCCAUUGUUGACCUUGCAAUUGUUGGUUGUCUCUUGAAUUCCAUGAUAUAGCUCUCACUCCAACAAAGAACACAUAUCCCAUUGUUGAUCUUCUAUCAUUUGCAUCUCCAACCCAAUCCGCAUCACAAUAACCAUGCAAAAUAAUGUUAUCACCUCCAAGGCAUAAUUUGAAAUUCAAAGUGCCUUUUAAGUACCUCAUGAUUCUUUUGAUGGUUGCCCAAUGGAUUGGUCCAGCCUUUGUCAUGUGUUGGCUCACAACACUCACUGCAUAUGCAAGAUCCACCCUUAAGCCAACCAUUGCAUACAUUAGUGAACCCAUUGCUGCCUUGUAUGGAAUUCUUUGCAUUUGACCUUCAACUUUAGCAAAUUCUUCAUCCAUUGUCGUAUUACGUGCUAUCUUGCUUGAGAACGCACCGAGCGUCUAGCUGUGGAAGAUAAAACAAUGUUUUGCAAGUACUCGGGUAAGCUAGUAGGUUUCAACCAUCUAAAUACAAAUAUUUUGGAUUUCAAUGUAAAAGCUUAAUCCCAAUACAAACAGCUUAGAAAUACUAUUUUUAAUAACUUCAAGAUAUUAUAAGUACAAAGUCUUUUGUUAUUUGUUAGUUUUUAUUUUAUUUUAUUUUAUUAUUUUAUUAUUUUAUUUUAUUUUAUUUUAUUUUUAACUCUAACUCUAGACAACGAGCUUCAGUAAUCUGUAAUUCUCAAUCUGACUGUCCGAUUGUUGUAAAUUUCUACCACUAGUGUCUUUGCAAGCCUUCCAAAUGCUCAAGAAGUUUCAAUCCAAUCUAACUUACAAGUUGCAAGAAAACACCAUUAACCCACACUAAUGUAUCUUGAUCGCCGCCUAGAAGUCUUCGACUUACCACGCCAAAAGUCACCUUAUUCCAACUGGUAGAUCUCCAAAUAUUACAGAAAUCCUAAACAACCUCAAUCUGCUAACUUCCGAUACCUCUUUACACUAAUGGUCAAAUAUCCUCUACCUAUUCCAUCAGAUUAGCACAACUUUUUGCAUGCACUCGGCAUACUCAACCCUCUAGACACCUCUAAAUUUCAACCGCAAAGGUUUUUCCAAUUUCACAAAACAGUCAAGAAUAUCAGCCUUAACUUUAUUGCAAAAAACCCAAUUCACCAAUACAAACACUGACUUUCAACAACGAUUGCAAAAGUCCUCCCAAACCCGAUGAACCCAAUUCUGUUGAAUUAUGCAAUUCGAAAAAAUAGGACACAUUUGCCACUGCAAUGAAA
RNAcentral lists this long non-coding RNA (7015 nucleotides) under Physcomitrium patens. Its description in RNAcentral is "long non-coding RNA (PPAT_LNC001793)". The record is from RNAcentral. Lineage: Eukaryota; Viridiplantae; Streptophyta; Bryopsida; Funariales; Funariaceae.